AGAGAGCAGAACGCCUCGUUCUAGCACAAAGUGUUCCUCGACGCGGUUCGUGUUCUGCCGUGGUUUAUCGACAACCUGUCGCCCUACCUGAGGAUGACGUUCAAAGUGCUCGCCCUUUUCUCUUCCGCGCGCUCUGACGAAGUUAUUUUACGUGGCUGUAACAGGAACCGAACAGCCAAUCUCGAUCUUGCUGAGCGAGAGGCUCGCACAGAAACGAGCAUGUGUGACGUCGACGGGGCAACCUUUUUGUCACCGUGGUGCGGUUAUGGUCGCGUGCCGGACCGGAAUCCGUCUCUCUUGCUCUCCAGUCAGCUUCCCUUCUUUCCUGCACGUCGUGGACAGGUCCAACCUGCGUGCAGAGGAGGGUCAAUCGAGGAUUAACCUGGUUACCCCCGGGGGAUGAUACAGGAAAUGACCGUAGACGCAGGUGCCUUCCGGUUUUCUGCGAAGCGACGUUGGGACAGCGGCCCGUCGAUCGGACUUUUUGGUUUUAAUUGGGAGUUAAGAAUCUUCGUUCGUCUCUGUUCACGGGAAAUCCGAGGCACGGACGUCGCUUUCAGAGGAUACUGGAAAGGGAGGGACUCGAAGGGACAGGACUUGGUUGAAAAUCGUCGUGACGUGAAUCGGUGCUACGGUUUCGUGAAAAAUAUCGAACGAGCGGAGAAGUUCGCCCCGGCAGACCGAUUCCGACAUUCGACAAGCGUGGUGCUGAUCUUCUCUUCAGAUAUGCUUCGCCUUGGAACGAAACUUUUGCUUGUUCUUGCUUCGAAUGAUCCUCGGCAACCCUUCGGUUAAAAGCGUUUGCGUAGGUGCGACGCUUUUCGGAUUUGAAGCACCUUGUAAAAAGCCAGCAGGACAGCGUCGAAGGAUGCACCCCUUUGGACCGAAUUUUCAGAAAACUGAGGAGACGAAGACGAAAGGACGAAAGAAGACGGGUGGAGAAAAAGAGGGAACGGUGAAUCGACGCCGACAUUAUGGAAGCCUCCGUUACAAGGUCGUAACUUAGCCACUUUAGAGUUUCUCGGUUCGUGGCACGCCAUUAGGCGUCCUCUUCAGAAAAAUAAAUCUUCCCUUCCAGGAAUUCCACGCAGACUUCGGGAACCCGAAGUCCUGGGACUGAGCACGCAUAGUCGACACCCCCGCGUCGAGGAAAAUGGACUCGUCCAGCAGGGGUGGCUACUGCUAACCCCCUCCACCAUUCGUUUCUCCCUUCCUCUUACGAUCUUGCUCCGGUUCCACCAAGGGCGGCUCGAAUUUGUUCGAAACCCUGACGCGUCGAUCCUGUUACCUUCAGGAGUAACCAUUCCUUUCUUUUUAAAUAUCUAAAAAAAAGGCAUUUGGAGUCGAGGAAGCCGAAGAAACGAAAUCCAAGGAGAUCCGAUUCCCAGACGGAGAGGACGCCGGGGAGAAAAGCGAGGAACGAGAAAAGAAAACAAUCCGAAUCCGGCUGCGUAGCUGUCAUCAAAGACGUCCCGUCACGAUUGCGAGUCACGAAGAAACCGAACGAAUCCACAUUAAAAGAGCCGAGAAGAUGAGCGAGCGAUACGGGAAACGAAGAAAGCGGCCGGUAAUCGUCGUCCUCCAGUGAACCGUUUCGCGAGAAGAAUCCGAGUGGACGGCUCGACAAAAGCGACGGAGUUUUACACAAAAUUUUAUUCGACUCAUUGCUGUCCACGGAAUGAUCUCCAUUUCCUCGUGAAAGCUGUUGCACGAUCGCAAAUAUAAUUCAAACGUAAGUCAUACUUUCAUUUUAUACCAAAUCUUCCCUCACUUUUGGUCAUAGUUAACUAACAGAACGUCUGGUUUCGCUUACAUGAGUCGUCAUCGGUUCGAUACGAAACCCUGCAAUUCGACCAGUAAUUCUCACCGAUCGAACGACGAACGAGGAUCCUGCUCACCUUCCAUUGGUUAAUCCUAAACAAUUUAUCCGAGAAUUUGGUCCACGUCGGUUGAAAAGGAACAUUGCGCUCCUCUGGCCUACGCGAACCGUUUCCAAACGCUGAAUGGACGCGGAACGCAUACAAUCGGCGCAUUGUAGCGUUCCUGGGAGAACUUCGAGCUCUCUCGAUGCACCUACGGGAAUAAUAUUUACUUCCGGCCGUUCGACAUCCGGCCUGCUCGUAACACUCGUCCUCGAGGGUAACACGAAACCGUGACGGCUACGUGGAAUGGUUUUUCCCGGUUCGACGGACUGUUUCGCGACGGGGUGUUUGCUCGAGGUUGGAGGAGGUGGACGAAGGAAGAAGGAAAAAAAUUGCGGCUUUCCAUUGACGAGGCGUAGACCGCAACCAGGAAUCGAAAGGGGAAGAAAUUAUACGUUCCGCGUUUAAUCGAAUUCGAGAGCCGACAGGGAAGGAACGCGCGCCGCAAAUUACGCGACGAUGAGUUCCCUUUUUUUCUCUCCCCUCCUCCCGGGGUGUCGAGGCGAGAACAACCCUUUUUCCUCGGGUUUCUGGGUGUCCGCGGGGUGCAACUGUUGCGUUCCCUUUGGAUUGCCGGCGGUCGAGCUUUGUUGGCGAGCAGGGAAGACGCGAGCUGCGCGGCGAUCGUAAUUUGGGCCAGGUUUGAAAUUUAAUCGCGCCUGGAGACCUGGAGACUUGAAUGCCUGCGCGAGCGGCGAGAGUGCGCGCUCGACAACUAUGUACAAUAGGUUUCCGUCGUUCGAGCGCUGGUGGGCUUGAUAUUUUUUAGCGGAGAUAUUAGUUGUGUUUGCAUUGAGCGUGCAUGCAUCCGAAGUCCAGCUUUCUCUUAUACACAUAUCUACGUUUUCUUUGCGAUAAGUUGAUACAAUUCACGCAUGAAUAUCUUGUCAAUAUCAAUCGUUAUUUUUACUUCCAACCAUUGAUUUCUCCAGAAAUAGUCGUUGCAAGCGAUUCGAUAAUGACAAGACGGGGGACUCGAAACACGGAAAAGUAGAAGUUUUCACCCGGUUGACCUCGAUGUGGCAACGGCACGAUAAUUAGGCGACCUUGAUCGAACGGGGCAAGCCACGAUUGUUGGCGAGGCGAAACAUCGAAAAGGCGGCGGAACGGAAAUACGAGAAACGACGAGUGAGAGAAACGAUCGAGUAAGGUCCAUUUACUGUUGGCUGUUGCAAAAAGCAUUGAUGAUCCCUCCAAGCACAAAGAGCAAUGAUAGAGAGCAACAGAUAAGUGCAAUUCGAGUUGCAAAACGUUGCGGGCCAUGAGGAGGGCAUUACGGCCGCUCGCAAAUUACCUAGCCGGUAAUCAUAAUGCGAUCGUAAUGCAACGCGAAUGGCUUGAUUUCGAGCGCGAGCCUCGCCAUUGCGAGAUAAGCCGCGGUCAUUAUGCGAAAUUAGCGAUUAUCGGAGGUAAUUCGUAAUUAUUAUUCGUCGUAAUAUAGAUUCGCUGAGACCACGCCGAGGAACGUUUAUAAAAUCAUUAAACCGAAGAGGCAAUGGUAUAUGAAAGAAUUAGAAAACAUUUCUUAAUUUUAUUAUUUUUAUUAUUACAAAAAUUUAUCUACCUUCGUUACACGCGAAUAUUUUAACCCUCUAUGGGCCCCAUGUAUCUUUCAGAUCACGUAUCGAGGUUCAAACGGUAUUGUUUCGUCAAAUAAUUCUAGUUUCUUUCACAAGCUGACGUAUAUGUCUUAAAAUAUUAAAUUAAGCCUUUGCGAGUUGUUUGCAGACAACAAAAUUCGGCCCAUAGA
Molecule: long non-coding RNA, 3672 nt
Organism: Hylaeus volcanicus
Lineage: Eukaryota; Metazoa; Arthropoda; Insecta; Hymenoptera; Colletidae
Exons: 6
Source: RefSeq, a predicted model, not a curated record